This 253-nucleotide ribosomal RNA is filed under the name uncultured bacterium. Its description in RNAcentral is "partial 16S ribosomal RNA". It matches the Rfam family "Bacterial small subunit ribosomal RNA", at positions 524 to 776 of the family's 1533-position model. The record is from RNAcentral.
UACGUAGGGUGCAAGCGUUGUCCGGAUUUAUUGGGCGUAAAGCGCUUGUAGGCGGUCUGUCGCGUCUGCUGUGAAAAUCCGGGGCUCAACCCCGGACUUGCAGUGGGUACGGGCAGACUAGAGUGUGGUAGGGGAGACUGGAAUUCCUGGUGUAGCGGUGAAAUGCGCAGAUAUCAGGAGGAACACCGAUGGCGAAGGCAGGUCUCUGGGCCACUACUGACGCUGAGAAGCGAAAGCAUGGGGAGCGAACAGG